ACGAACGCUGGCGGCGUGCCUAAUACAUGCAAGUCGCACGCUUCUUUCCUCCCGAGUGCUUGCACUCAAUUGGAAAGAGGAGUGGCGGACGGGUGAGUAACACGUGGGUAACCUACCCAUCAGAGGGGGAUAACACUUGGAAACAGGUGCUAAUACCGCAUAACAGUUUAUGCCGCAUGGCAUAAGAGUGAAAGGCGCUUUCGGGUGUCGCUGAUGGAUGGACCCGCGGUGCAUUAGCUAGUUGGUGAGGUAACGGCUUACCAAGGCCACGAUGCAUAGCCGACCUGAGAGGGUGAUCGGCCACACUGGGACUGAGACACGGCCCAGACUCCUACGGGAGGCAGCAGUAGGGAAUCUUCGGCAAUGGACGAAAGUCUGACCGAGCAACGCCGCGUGAGUGAAGAAGGUUUUCGGAUCGUAAAACUCUGUUGUUAGAGAAGAACAAGGACGUUAGUAACUGAACGUCCCCUGACGGUAUCUAACCAGAAAGCCACGGCUAACUACGUG
Molecule: ribosomal RNA, 507 nt
Filed under: uncultured bacterium
Lineage: Bacteria
Description: partial 16S ribosomal RNA
Rfam family: Bacterial small subunit ribosomal RNA
Source: RNAcentral